Molecule: long non-coding RNA, 255 nt
Filed under: Rattus norvegicus (Norway rat)
Lineage: Eukaryota; Metazoa; Chordata; Mammalia; Rodentia; Muridae
Description: long non-coding RNA NONRATT004056
Source: RNAcentral
GGAAAGUGGCGAGGCGGUGCAGGAAACCGUGAUGCUUGGGCUUGUGUUGAAGCUGUGAAGCCAAGGUCAAGAUUUCCGAGGGAACCCUUGCACAAGCACUUCCUGUCUGAGGAGAACAUGGCCACCCAUUUCUCCCGACUCAGCCUACAUAAUGACCACCCCUAUUGCAGUCCCCCUGUGACUUUUCCCGAAGCCCUGCCACCACUCAGGAUAACCCCAGUCCCUACUACUCUGCGUCCCCAGCUGGGGAGAUCA